RNAcentral lists this ribosomal RNA (207 nucleotides) under uncultured bacterium. Its description in RNAcentral is "partial 16S ribosomal RNA". It matches the Rfam family "Bacterial small subunit ribosomal RNA", at positions 568 to 774 of the family's 1533-position model. The record is from RNAcentral.
CGCGUAGGCGGGAGCGCAAGUCAGAUGUGAAAUUCCGGGGCUCAACCUCGGAGCUGCAUUUGAAACUCCAUUCCUAGAGGAUAGACGGAGAAAGCGGAAUUCUACAAGUAACGGUGAAAUGCGUAGAUAUGUAGAAGAACACCCGUGGCGAAAGCGGCUUUCUAGUUUAUUCCUGACGCUGAGGCGCGAAAGCUAGGGGAGCGAACA